RNAcentral lists this ribosomal RNA (183 nucleotides) under Coprophilus sp. BT-2011. RNAcentral's name for it is "partial 28S ribosomal RNA". It matches the Rfam family "Eukaryotic large subunit ribosomal RNA", at positions 663 to 817 of the family's 3401-position model. The record is from RNAcentral. Lineage: Eukaryota; Metazoa; Arthropoda; Insecta; Coleoptera; Staphylinidae.
GGACCAAGGAGUCCAGCAUGUGCGCGAGUCAUUGGGGUCAUCGAAUCCUAAAGGCGAAAAUAAUUUGAACGAGAGCCUUGUGCUCAACAAGGGAAGAUGGGUGAGGAAACUCACCUCGCACUCCCGGGGUGUCUCAUUCUCAUUGCGAGAAGAGGCGCACCUAGAGCGUACAUGCUGGGACCC